GCUGUGCUCAAUCGCCGGUUAGCGUUGUUUAGCCGCCGCAGCAGCUUUAACGAUCACGGCAAACGCAUCGGCUUUCAGCGACGCGCCGCCAACCAGGGCACCGUCGAUGUCCGGCUGAGUAAACAGCUCGGCAGCGUUUUUAUCGUUAACUGAGCCGCCGUACUGAAUAAUCACUUGCUCAGCGAUAGCCGCAUCUUUUUUGGCAAUGUGGUCACGAAUAAAUUUGUGAACGGCCUGCGCCUGAGCAGGUGUGGCUGACUUCCCGGUACCGAUCGCCCAUACCGGCUCGUAAGCGAUGACCGCGUCUUUAAACGCUUCUGCACCCUGCGUGGUCAGCACCGCAUCAAGCUGGCGUGCACAGACUUCUUCGGUUUUGCCCGCUUCGUUUUCCGCAUAAGCCAGCUUGACUGCGAGAGUGACGGCUCGAGCAGGUGCGAAAGCAGGUCAUAGUGAUCCGGUGGUUCUGAAUGGAAGGGCCAUCGCUCAACGGAUAAAAGGUACUCCGGGGAUAACAGGCUGAUACCGCCCAAGAGUUCAUAUCGACGGCGGUGUUUGGCACCUCGAUGUCGGCUCAUCACAUCCUGGGGCUGAAGUAGGUCCCAAGGGUACGGCUGUUCGCCGUUUAAAGUGGUACGCGAGCUGGGUUUAGAACGUCGUGAGACAGUUCGGUCCCUAUCUGCCGUGGGCGCUGGAGAAUUGAGGGGGGUUGCUCCUAGUACGAGAGGACCGGAGUGAACGCACCGCUGGUGUCCGGGUUGUCACGCCAGUGGCACUGCCCGGUAGCUAAGUGCGGAAAAGAUAAGUGCUGAAAGCAUCUAAGCACGAAACUUGCCCCGAGAUGAGUUCUCCCUGAGCCUUUAAGGCUCCUGAAGGGACGUUGAAGACGACGACGUUGAUAGGCCGGGUGUGUAAGCGCAGCGAUGCGUUGAGCUUACCGGUACUAAUGACCCGUGAGGCUUAACCUU
RNAcentral lists this ribosomal RNA (965 nucleotides) under Pantoea sp. B40. RNAcentral describes it as "bacterial LSU rRNA". It matches the Rfam family "Bacterial large subunit ribosomal RNA", at positions 2283 to 2925 of the family's 2925-position model. The record is from RNAcentral. Lineage: Bacteria; Pseudomonadati; Pseudomonadota; Gammaproteobacteria; Enterobacterales; Erwiniaceae.